This 471-nucleotide ribosomal RNA is filed under the name uncultured bacterium. RNAcentral describes it as "bacterial SSU rRNA". It matches the Rfam family "Bacterial small subunit ribosomal RNA", at positions 335 to 798 of the family's 1533-position model. The record is from RNAcentral.
ACUCCUACGGGAGGCAGCAGUGGGGAAUAUUGCACAAUGGGCGCAAGCCUGAUGCAGCCAUGCCGCGUGUAUGAAGAAGGCCUUCGGGUUGUAAAGUACUUUCAGCAGUGAGGAAGGUGGAUAUGUUAAUAGCAUAUUCAUUUGACGUUAGCUGCAGAAGAAGCACCGGCUAACUCCGUGCCAGCAGCCGCGGUAAUACGGAGGGUGCGAGCGUUAAUCGGAAUUACUGGGCGUAAAGCGCAUGCAGGUGGUUUGUUAAGUCAGAUGUGAAAGCCCGGGGCUCAACCUCGGAAUUGCAUUUGAAACUGGCAAACUAGAGUACUGUAGAGGGGGGUAGAAUUUCAGGUGUAGCGGUGAAAUGCGUAGAGAUCUGAAGGAAUACCGGUGGCGAAGGCGGCCCCCUGGACAGAUACUGACACUCAGAUGCGAAAGCGUGGGGAGCAAACAGGAUUAGAUACCCUGGUAGGCUCU